AGCGAACGCUGGCGGCGCGCCUAAUACAUGCAAGUCGAGCGAGAAGACGUAGCAAUACGUUUGUAAAGCGGCGAACGGGUGAGGAAUACAUGGGUAACCUACCCUCGAGUGGGGAAUAACUAGCCGAAAGGUUAGCCAAUACCGCGUACGCUCCUUGGACUUCGGUUCAGGGAGGAAAGCGAUACCGUGGGUAUCGCGCUCUUGGAUGGGCUCAUGUCCUAUCAGCUUGUUGGUGAGGUAACGGCUCACCAAGGCUUCGACGGGUAGCUGGUCUGAGAGGACAAUCAGCCACACUGGCACUGCGACACGGGCCAGACUCCUACGGGAGGCAGCAGUAAGGAAUAUUGCGCAAUGGGCGAAAGCCCUGACGCAGCGACGCCGCGUGGGGGGAUGAAGGUCUUCGGAUUGUAAACCCCUUUC
Molecule: ribosomal RNA, 420 nt
Filed under: uncultured bacterium
Lineage: Bacteria
Description: bacterial SSU rRNA
Rfam family: Bacterial small subunit ribosomal RNA
Source: RNAcentral